AGCAGCCGCGGUAAUUCCAGCUCCAAUAGCGUAUAUUAAAGUUGUUGCAGUUAAAAAGCUCGUAGUUGAAUUUCGGGAUCAGUGGGUCGGUCGUGCCACUGGUAUGCACUGGCCCUACUGGUUCCUCCUUCUUGAAGAACUGUAAUGCCAUUAAUUUGGUGUUGCAGGGAAACAGGACUGUUACUUUGAAAAAAUUAGAGUGUUUAAAGCAGGCAA
This 216-nucleotide ribosomal RNA is filed under the name uncultured Glomus. Its description in RNAcentral is "partial small subunit ribosomal RNA". It matches the Rfam family "Eukaryotic small subunit ribosomal RNA", at positions 569 to 787 of the family's 1831-position model. The record is from RNAcentral. Lineage: Eukaryota; Fungi; Glomeromycota; Glomeromycetes; Glomerales; Glomeraceae.